GCCAUUUGAGGCUGGGAUUGGAGUUCUGAAAUGUGCAGAAAUGCCACUUGUUGUCUUUUUCUGCGUCUCACUUCCUGGAUCUUCAGUUUAAAUGGCUUACAUACUGUAUUCAAGCUUCUACAGUGACACAGGAUCUUAGAAGAGAAAUUUGAACAUGUUUUUGCUUUGUUUUCUAGGGAGAACCCAGUUAUUUUCCCAAGGUUAUAUGAUUGUGGAAAAUCCUGUCCUAUCUAGUACGGAUGGGUAGGGUUAUUAGAUUAAGGGAGUUGUCAACAGGAUGAAUUAACUCCUGAGGACAAGUCCAAGGACAAUAGGGACUUGGUCAUUCCUGUAUCCCCCCCCCCCCCACUCAGCCCAUCCCUCAAGCCUUAGCAAGGGUUUAUCAAAAUGCCUAGGAUCCAGGUCUUCCUUAGUGCACUAAAGUUAAUCUCAUGCUCUCUGAAUUCUACUUAGUUUAGUGUUGUUUAGCUAGAAAUAAGAAAUUCAUCUGUCGUGAGCCAACAAAGAUACCACUGAAUACAGGAAGGAAAUAUUUCAAUCCCCUCGCAUUCCUGCUUCACAUCUGGCAAAAUGCUUAAAGCCUCUGCGAAUAUUGUCUCUUCUCUUCUGAGAGCUGUCUCAAACUUGGACAGCAAAAGAAAGGUUAAAAAGAGAACAAAGAAAAUCAUUGCCUUAGCUCACGAAGAUCACAAUAUACUGUGGAUUUGCCUGUCAAGUU
Molecule: long non-coding RNA, 718 nt
Filed under: Marmota monax (woodchuck)
Lineage: Eukaryota; Metazoa; Chordata; Mammalia; Rodentia; Sciuridae
Source: RNAcentral